Molecule: long non-coding RNA, 840 nt
Filed under: Ixodes scapularis (black-legged tick)
Lineage: Eukaryota; Metazoa; Arthropoda; Arachnida; Ixodida; Ixodidae
Description: uncharacterized LOC121834382, transcript variant X1
Source: RNAcentral
CCGGAGCGGAGACAAAGGCCUGUUUCUCGGAGUGCGUCGGUCGGUCCGAGUUUAGGAAGUCUGUAUCAUCAAGAAAAAACUGCAGGUGGCUGGAAGAUGCCGAUCAGCUGCCAGUCUGGAUAGUAGCCAUCAACUCAGCAAAGGCCUGCAGUCGAAUCAGCCCCACCUGUUUCUCUGCUGCCAUUCAAGACGGGAUGCUUUGUGAAAGUGGGAGCUCAUGGAGGUGGCACGGUGCAUGGAAGAACAGAGUGGCUGACAGUGAGCUGCCCAAGCAAGCUGCUGGCUCUUGUGACUGUCUCUGAAAGCCUCUGGAUGUGCUAAAUUGCAGACGUGCCUGGACAUUUAUAAAUGGUGCUGCUAUCCAGCUCUACGUCACAGCCAUGAAGUGGCCAUGGGGUGAACCAUGGACAACUGCUGUCUUAAGUACUCGAAUCGGCAGAGCCACCUACUAGCUGUGAAGCCCAGUUGCCAGGCAGCAGAUACUCGACCAGCAACCAGCCUUUGUCACUCUAGUGGGACACGAGAGCGACAAACAGAAACAAACGACAGCUACAAGCCUCCAACCCAUUCAGCAUGCCCGUGAUGGUACCUUUGGCAGGCGUUUAUUCGUUCGGUGCUCGUGAAAUAAGCAUGAGUGAUUCUAAGCCUGUCAAAGAUACCCUCGCGUGCAUGAUGCUUGUUUUUAAGCAUAGCCUCCUUUAUUCCACAAAGCCUCAAAUCGCGAAAGACUCAGGUUUGAGACUUGUCGUCAUUUGUUUCUGUUUGUCGCUGUAGUGGGACUCGGGGCAUAAGCUAGCACCAUGUACUGAACAUGAAAUAAAAAACCACUGUAUCAAACUU